AGUUUACAUCUUUCACAGGGCAAACAUACAGUACACUUAGAGAAAGCGGGAAACAGCAAAGAGGGCUUGGGGUGGGAGGGGGGGACAGCAUGCCGAAGGAAAGUCCUACCGCGUCAUCUCUCCGUGCUGGCCCUGCAAACCCAGGCAGCAGAGCAGGGUGGGCGCCCCCAAACCCACCCGGCCCUUGGUGGGGGCUCUGCUCUCCAGCCCCCAGCCCCAGGGACCCCCUGCACCCCGGUGUCCCCGUCCCCGGGGCUGGCAGGGAGCUGCGGGCAGGGUUUGGGAACCGGUGCUGCCCGCGCAGCCGUGGGCAGGGGGGCCGGGGGCACGACGCCUCCCUGCCGGGGCUGUGCCUUUUGGUGGCAUCGGGGGAGACCCCAGGGUGCUGCCGGGUGCUGCGGGGGGCCCUGCCACUGCAAACACCCUGCACAGCACCCGGGAGCUGCUCCGGGAGCAAGGCGACGCCGUGCCCCCAACCCCAAACCCACCCGGGCGCAGGGACCCCCGAGGAGCUGGGGAUGCCCAGGAGGAGGUGGGCGAGGGGCGGCUGUGGCAGGCGGUGCCAGGGGUGAUUCCGGGGAGGUUUGGGGUUCCCAGAGCCUUGCCGGGAGGCAGCACUUUGGUUUCAGCUGGGGUUUCCAUUUGGGAAUGCCUGGGGACCCCAGGCAGGCUGUCCCCCCACCACGAACACCAUUCCCCUGCUCCAUCCACAGCAUUGGGAAGGAAACCCAAGACGGGUGCUGCGGGUGGCCACGGGGACCUGAUCCGGCACAGGGCUGUGCCACCCUGUCCCCCGUGUCCCCAAGCUGCCCCGCAGCACCCGGGGUGUUCCCAAGCCCUGUGGCUGUACCAGGACCACGGGGCACAUCCCUCUGCCAGCACCCGGUGCCACAAAGCCACCAAAAACAAGGCUUGGGGCACACACGUCCCAGCCCCACGCACGUCCCAGCAUCGGUGUGGGGCAAAAAAAAAAAACAUGGAAGCACCCGGUCAGAGCCUCCCCGGCCACCACCACGGCCGCCGUCCUCCCCGCACCGUUAUUUUUUGGAAAUAUCACACGUUAAAGCUGUCGUUCUGGUUUGGACGUCUGCUAGCGCCGCACCGCCCGCCCCCUCCCUCCCUCAGCUUUUGGUUUCAAUGCAAGGUUCUUUAGGGAAUUUUUAUUAUUAA
Molecule: long non-coding RNA, 1170 nt
Filed under: Anas platyrhynchos (mallard)
Lineage: Eukaryota; Metazoa; Chordata; Aves; Anseriformes; Anatidae
Description: lncRNA (ENSAPLG00020006370.1)
Source: RNAcentral